This 468-nucleotide ribosomal RNA is filed under the name uncultured bacterium. RNAcentral's name for it is "partial 16S ribosomal RNA". It matches the Rfam family "Bacterial small subunit ribosomal RNA", at positions 28 to 507 of the family's 1533-position model. The record is from RNAcentral.
GACGAACGCUGGCGGCGUGCUUAACACAUGCAAGUCGAACGGAAAGGCCCUGCUUUCGUGGUGUGCGCGAGUGGCACACGGGUGUAAAACACGUGUGUACCCUGCCCUUCAUUGUGGGAUAACUUCAGGAAACUGGGGCUAAUACCGUAUAGGACCUCCUGCGGCUGGUGGGUGGUUGGAUAUUUUGGUCGGGUGGGGAUGGACUCGCGGCUUAUCAGCUUGUUGGUGGGGUAGGGGCUUACCAAGGCUUUGACGGGUAGCCGGCCUGAGAGGGUGACCGGCAACAUUGGGACUGGGAUACGGCCAAGACUCCUACGGGAGGCAGCAGUGGGGAAUAUUGCACAAUGGGCGGAAGCCGGAGGCAGGAACGCCGCGUGCGGGAUGACGGCCUUCGGGUGGUAAACCGCUUUCGCAUGUGACGAAGCGUGAGUGACGGUAAUGGGUAAAGAAGCACCGGCUAACUACGUG